Molecule: ribosomal RNA, 253 nt
Filed under: uncultured bacterium
Lineage: Bacteria
Description: partial 16S ribosomal RNA
Rfam family: Bacterial small subunit ribosomal RNA
Source: RNAcentral
GACGGAGGGUGCAAGCGUUGUUCGGAAUUACUGGGCGUAAAGGGCGCGUAGGCGGUCUGUUAAGUUCGGUGUGAAAGCCCCCGGCUCACCUGGGGAACUGCGCCGAAAACCGACAGACUCGAGUACCGGAGAGGAGGGUGGAAUUCCUGGUGUAGCGGUGAAAUGCGUAGAUAUCAGGAGGAACACCGGUGGCGAAGGCGGCCCUCUGGACGGAUACUGACGCUGAGGCGCGAAAGCGUGGGGAUCAAACAGG